CAAAAACAUGUCUUUUUGAUUUUAAUUUAAAGUCUAAUCUGCCCACUGAUUUAUAUUGAAGGGCUGCAGUAAUUUGACUGUACAAAGGUAGCAUAAUCAUUAGUCUUUUAAUUGAAGACUUGUAUGAAGGAUUUGAUAAAAUAUAAACUGUCUCUAAUUUAUAUUUAAAAUUUAAUUUUUUAGUUAAAAAGCUAAAAUAAAUUUAAAAGACGAGAAGACCCUAUAGAGUUUUAUAAUUUAUAAUUUAAAAUAUUUAUAUAAAAUUUUAAUAUAAUAGAUUAUAAUUUAUUUUAUUGGGGUGAUAGAAAAAUUUAUAAAACUUUUUUUUUUCAUUAACAUAAAUAAUUGAAUAUAUGAUCCUAAAUAAAGAUUAAAAGAAAAAAUUACCUUAGGGAUAACAGCGUAAUUUUUUUUUUUAGUACAAAUAAAAAAAAAAGUUUGCGACCUCGAUGUUGGAUUAAGAUAAAAUUUAAAUGCAAAAGUUUAAAAUUUUGAUCUGUUCGAUCAUUAAAAUCUUACAUGAUCUGAG
Molecule: ribosomal RNA, 529 nt
Filed under: Pseudozizeeria maha (pale grass blue)
Lineage: Eukaryota; Metazoa; Arthropoda; Insecta; Lepidoptera; Lycaenidae
Description: partial 16S ribosomal RNA
Rfam family: Archaeal large subunit ribosomal RNA (bases 394-529)
Source: RNAcentral